AAAGUACUCCCUCCAUCCCAAAAUUCUUGUCUUAGAUUUGUCUAGAUACGGAUGUAUCAAGUCACAUUUUAGUAUUAGAUACAUCCGUAUCUAGACAAAUCUAAGACAAGAAAUUUGGAACAGAGGGAGUAGUUG
This is a non-coding RNA of Triticum aestivum (bread wheat), 135 nucleotides long. Lineage: Eukaryota; Viridiplantae; Streptophyta; Magnoliopsida; Poales; Poaceae. The record is from Rfam.